RNAcentral lists this ribosomal RNA (468 nucleotides) under uncultured bacterium. RNAcentral's name for it is "partial 16S ribosomal RNA". It matches the Rfam family "Bacterial small subunit ribosomal RNA", at positions 28 to 507 of the family's 1533-position model. The record is from RNAcentral.
GACGAACGCUGGCGGCGUGCUUAACACAUGCAAGUCGAACGGAAAGGCCCUGCUUUUGUGGGGUGCUCGAGUGGCGAACGGGUGAGUAACACGUGAGUAACCUGCCCUUGACUUUGGGAUAACUUCAGGAAACUGGGGCUAAUACCGGAUAGGAGCUCCUGCUGCAUGGUGGGGGUUGGAAAGUUUCGGCGGUUGGGGAUGGACUCGCGGCUUAUCAGCUUGUUGGUGGGGUAGUGGCUUACCAAGGCUUUGACGGGUAGCCGGCCUGCGAGGGUGACCGGCCACAUUGGGACUGAGAUACGGCCCAGACUCCUACUGGAGGCAGCAGUGGGGAAUAUUGCACAAUGGGCGGAAGCCUAAGGCAGCAACGCCGCGUGCGGGAUGACGGCCUUCGGGUUGUAAACCGCUUUCGCCUGUGACGAAGCGUGAGUGACGGUAAUGGGUAAAGAAGCACCGGCUAACUACGUG